CGUGAUCAUGACGGCGACAUGGCUGGCAGAGUUCUGUAAGGGCUGAAAGGCAGUGGUUAACCAGAAUGAAGAUUUCUGGCCAUGAAAGCUUAUAAAAAGGAGAUUUCCAGAGACAAAAUUCAACUCCCAUUCAAGUUCCAUGGGGAUGGCCCAUAAGGCUACAUACUGACUGAAUCAACACAAGGAAAGAGUCCCCUUGACAGGAAUUAUCAAACAGCCAUGCAGCUGACAUAGCUGGAGGGAAGGAGUCAAUCCAACUUUAACAUCCAAGUGGGGAGAAUACUGGACAGUUCAGUCAAGGAUGCUUUUCUUCUCACUGCCACACGGUGUCACUCUUGAGAACUGGUGCCGCCUGGCAGUGCUCAUCCCUCCCAGGACACUGUGGAUCUUUCUGAAGGAGGAGCUCAUUCUCUUCGGCCAAGUCAGCCUAAGGGAAUCCCCAGCUGAGCUCCCAACUUCGCAGCACUUAGCCCUCAUUUUCAGGCCCUACAAGUCACUCUCGUGUUACCAUCUAACCCAAGAAGGCUGUUGAGCCCAACGAUGCCUACCUCCUCCUCCCUUGAUGGCGAUUCCUACCAAGAGCUUUAAAGGGCCCAGAAGAAUUUCAAAACACACCAUAUAACUUGUUUGGUUUUUGCAAGUCACCUAAGUUUGCUGGGAUUGCCUCCUACUACAAAUACAAGAAAGAAAUUGGAGGUAUGUCAUCAGAGGGCCUAGAAAUCCAGAAACGCAAAGACAGAGGCCCGAUCCUCAAGUCAGACCUCCUUGGGGCUUCUGCUCCCAGGACAGCGGUGCCACCUCAGAGCCACACCCAGAGGCCAUGCCAGGCCCCAAAACACUGUGUAGGAACUGGCUCAGCUGCUCUCCACUUCAGGACUCAGAAUCUCACUUUUAUUUUCCGAAGAGCUCGCUCAUUCUCAGAUCUGCCAGUUUUCCCUUUUUAAAGCCUGGAAAACCAUACCCCUUUUCAUGCCAGAUGAAGUUGUUUUCUGUCUUCGCUGCAUGCAGAGGGUCUCAGUACUAGUCCUUGUUGUAGACAAAAGGGCCAGUUGCCCUAUCCCUGCCCUUCUGAACACAGCUAUCUUCUCUGAUGCAAGAUGCCCUUCCCCACCACGUGGGGGCAGCACCUCUCGGUAAAUCCAAGAUGUCUUCCUUGCACCGUCCUUUACAAAGUGAGGAAAAAGAAAACUCAUAAUCUUCAGCAGGGUCAUGAGCUGUAAAGACGAUAAUGAUACCUGAUGCGGCAAACUGUCAGAAGCCACAUUGGUCAUCCACUCUGUUAGGCUUGAGAGGUUAGAAGGGGACGGAGCCAUGUGAUUCCUUUCCCACAACCUCACUACUCACUCCAAGGCCAUGGAAAGUCAGUCUUAGACAGGAGCUUGCCCUUUAUGCAAAUAUUUAUUAGCCAGCAGACAGAAAAAGUGUUAUGCAGACUGUUCUGUAAGCAUGCUUAAGACCCAGCUCUUGUCCUUUCAGGAACUCUUGUCAAACCCUGUCAAGAAAAACUCAUUUUGAAAAAAGGCAACACUAUUCUGACUGCAUUUUGUUGAAACGUCUUGUAGGACUGAGCCAAGUUCUGUGCUGAGUUCUGAGCUGAGUCUCUGUAAGACAAGACUGGAAGGGUUCUAUGCUUAAAGCUCAACUCCGAGGAGCUAGAUUGCUGGAUUGGCUCAUUCAUCACAUGCACUUUGUUCAUACCUGGGGUCUUUUUAGCCAUUUCUUGAACUGUACUCAUUUUCACAAUAAAUACUGGGUUUUUAACAUCAGUGUUAACAAAGUGUCUAAUGCAAACUUACACGGCAUUUUUUGAGUUGCCUCUCAGCCACCAUUAUGAUACGAAUUCAAAAUCAAGGUCCUACAGAUGCUAACUAACCACAGACAGAGUUCAUAUUUUGAUCGAGGAAGUGCAAAUAACUAUGAAUUUCCUUAGUAUGUGGAUAAAAGUUAACUUGCAUACAUUUCUUCACAUGAUUUAAACUAUAGUAGUUUAAAGAAAAAUAUGGGCAAUGGAGUACUUUAUAUCUACAGUUUAGUCUUAUUUUUUUUGCAGGAACCAGAAGCAUAACAUCAUCUAGGAGACAGCCAGUGAUCUAGCAUCUCAGGGUUUACCCCACAAAUGCUGAGUCAAAAUCCCUGUGAGUUGAUUGCUCAGUAAAG
Sus scrofa (pig) is the source of this 2157-nucleotide non-coding RNA. The record is from RefSeq and is a predicted model, not a curated record. NCBI's taxonomy places the organism in Eukaryota, Metazoa, Chordata, Mammalia, Artiodactyla, Suidae.